This 252-nucleotide ribosomal RNA is filed under the name uncultured bacterium. RNAcentral describes it as "partial 16S ribosomal RNA". It matches the Rfam family "Bacterial small subunit ribosomal RNA", at positions 524 to 776 of the family's 1533-position model. The record is from RNAcentral.
UACGUAGGGGGCAAGCGUUGUCCGGAAUUAUUGGGCGUAAAGCGCGCGCAGGCGGUUUUUUAAGUCGGAUGUAUAAUCUCCAGGCUCAACCUGGAGUCGCAUCCGAAACUGGGGAACUGGAGUGCAGGAGAGGAGAGCGGAAUUCCACGUGUAGCGGUGAAAUGCGUAGAGAUGUGGAGGAACACCAGUGGCGAAGGCGGCUCUCUGGCCUGUAACUGACGCUGAGGCGCGAAAGCGUGGGGAGCAAACAGG